This 347-nucleotide unclassified non-coding RNA is filed under the name soil metagenome. RNAcentral's name for it is "partial contains 5.8S ribosomal RNA, internal transcribed spacer 2, and large subunit ribosomal RNA". The stretch from base 1 to 120 matches the Rfam family "5.8S ribosomal RNA", at positions 35 to 154 of the family's 154-position model. The record is from RNAcentral.
GAUGAAGAACGUAGCGAAAUGCGAUAAGUAAUGUGAAUUGCAGAAUUCCGUGAAUCAUCGAAUCUUUGAACGCACAUUGCGCCCGCUGGUAUUCCGGCGGGCAUGCCUGUUCGAGCGUCAUUUCAACCCUCAAGCCCCCGGGUUUGGUGUUGGGGAUCGGCUCUGCCCUCUGGGCGGUGCCGCCCCCGAAAUACAUUGGCGGUCUCGCUGCAGCCUCCAUUGCGUAGUAGCUAACACCUCGCAACUGGAACGCGGCGCGGCCAUGCCGUAAAACCCCAACUUCUGAAUGUUGACCUCGGAUCAGGUAGGAAUACCCGCUGAACUUAAGCAUAUCAAUAAGCGGAGGA